GAUGAACGCUGGCGGCGUGCUUAACACAUGCCAGUCGAACGGAAAGGCCAGUGCUUGCACUGGUACUCGAGUGGCGAACGGGUGAGUAACACGUGGGUGAUCUGCCCUGUACUUCGGGAUAAGCUUGGGAAACUGGGUCUAAUACCGGAUAGGACAACUUUUUGGAUAUUGUUGUGGAAAGCUUUUGCGGUAUGGGAUGAGCUCGCGGCCUAUCAGCUUGUUGGUGGGGUAAUGGCCUACCAAGGCGUCGACGGGUAGCCGGCCUGAGAGGGUGUACGGCCACAUUGGGACUGAGAUACGGCCCAGACUCCUACGGGAGGCAGCAGUGGGGAAUAUUGCACAAUGGGCGCAAGCCUGAUGCAGCGACGCCGCGUGGGGGAUGAAGGCCUUCGGGUUGUAAACUCCUGUCGCUAGGGACGAAGCUUUUUUGUGACGGUACCUGGAGAAGAAGCACCGGCUAACUACGUG
RNAcentral lists this ribosomal RNA (468 nucleotides) under uncultured bacterium. Its description in RNAcentral is "partial 16S ribosomal RNA". It matches the Rfam family "Bacterial small subunit ribosomal RNA", at positions 28 to 507 of the family's 1533-position model. The record is from RNAcentral.